RNAcentral lists this ribosomal RNA (730 nucleotides) under uncultured eukaryote. RNAcentral describes it as "bacterial SSU rRNA". It matches the Rfam family "Eukaryotic small subunit ribosomal RNA", at positions 670 to 1426 of the family's 1831-position model. The record is from RNAcentral.
AGUAUGCAUUAAUCGACUCAUCCCUUUUACUGACGAUGUGCUCUUGGCCUUAACUGGCUGGGUCGUGUCUUUGACACUGUUACUUUAAAGAAAUUAGAAUGCUCAAAGCAAGCCUAUGCUCUGUAUACAUUAGCAUGGGAUAACAUUAUAGGAUUUUAGUCUAUUCUAUUGGCCUUCGGGAUUAGAGUAAUGAUUAAUAGGGACAGUUAGGGGCAUUCAUAUUUUAUAAUCAGAAAUGAAAUUCUUAGAUUUAUGAAAGACAAACAAUUGUGAAAGUAUUUGUCGAAGAUGUUUCAUUAAUCAAGAACAAAAGUUGGGGGCUUGAAGAUGAUUAGAUACCAUCCUAGUCUCAACUAUAAACGAUACCGACUAGGGAUCAAUUGAUGUUACUUUUAAAACUCCGCUAGUAGCUUAUGAGAAAUCAAUGUCUUUGGGUUCUGAAGGGAGUAUGGUUGCAAGGCUAAAACUUAAAGGAAUUGACAAAAAGGCAUCACCAUGAGUGGAGCCUACGACUUAAUUUGACUUAACACGGGGAAACUUACCAGGUCUAGACAUAAUAAGAAUUGAUAGACUGAGAGCUCUUUCUUGAUUCUAUGGGUGGUGGUGCAUGGUCGUUCUUAGUUGGUAGAAUGAUUUGUCUGGUUAAUUCUGUUAACGAACGAGACCUCAACCUAUUAACUAGCUAUGUGAAGGUGACCCUUCGUGUCUAGCUUCUUAGAGGGACUAUAGC